CGGAGGGUGCAAGCGUUAUCCGGAUUCACUGGGUUUAAAGGGUGCGUAGGUGGUUUUGUAAGUCAGUGGUGAAAGCCCGGAGCUCAACUCCGGAACUGCCAUUGAUACUGCUUAACUUGAAUCAACUUGAGGUGGAUGGAAUAUUACAUGUAGCGGUGAAAUGCUUAGAUAUGUAAUAGAACACCGAUUGCGAAGGCAGUUCACUAAGGUUGUAUUGACACUGAGGCACGAAAGCGUGGGGAUCAAACAGGAUUAGAUACCCUGGUAGUCCACGCCCUAAACGAUGUAAACUCGACAUCAGCGAUAUACUGUUGGUGUCCAAGCGAAAGCGUUAAGUUUACCACCUGGGAAGUACGACCGCAAGGUUG
RNAcentral lists this ribosomal RNA (368 nucleotides) under uncultured organism. RNAcentral's name for it is "bacterial SSU rRNA". It matches the Rfam family "Bacterial small subunit ribosomal RNA", at positions 526 to 896 of the family's 1533-position model. The record is from RNAcentral.